UUAAGCGACUAAGCGUACACGGUGGAUGCCCUGGCAGUCAGAGGCGAUGAAGGACGUGCUAAUCUGCGAUAAGCGUCGGUAAGGUGAUAUGAACCGUUAUAACCGGCGAUUUCCGAAUGGGGAAACCCAGUGUGUUUCGACACACUAUCAUUAACUGAAUCCAUAGGUUAAUGAGGCGAACCGGGGGAACUGAAACAUCUAAGUACCCGAGGAAAGAAAUCAACCGAGAUUCCCCCAGUAGCGGCGAGCGAACGGGGAGGAGCCCAGAGCCUGAAUCAGUGUGUGUGUUAGUGGAAGUGCCUGGAAAGGCGCGCGAUACAGGGUGACAGCCCCGUACACAAAAAUGCACAUGCUGUGAGCUCGAUGAGUAGGGCGGGACACGUGGUAUCCUGUCUGAAUAUGGGGGGACCAUCCUCCAAGGCUAAAUACUCCUGACUGACCGAUAGUGAACCAGUACCGUGAGGGAAAGGCGAAAAGAACCCCGGCGAGGGGAGUGAAAAAGAACCUGAAACCGUGUACGUACAAGCAGUGGGAGCACAGAGCAAUCUGUGUGACUGCGUACCUUUUGUAUAAUGGGUCAGCGACUUAUAUUCUGUAGCAAGGUUAACCGAAUAGGGGAGCCGAAGGGAAACCGAGUCUUAACUGGGCGUUAAGUUGCAGGGUAUAGACCCGAAACCCGGUGAUCUAGCCAUGGGCAGGUUGAAGGUUGGGUAACACUAACUGGAGGACCGAACCGACUAAUGUUGAAAAAUUAGCGGAUGACUUGUGGCUGGGGGUGAAAGGCCAAUCAAACCGGGAGAUAGCUGGUUCUCCCCGAAAGCUAUUUAGGUAGCGCCUCGUGAAUUCAUCUCCGGGGGUAGAGCACUGUUUCGGCAAGGGGGUCAUCCCGACUUACCAACCCGAUGCAAACUGCGAAUACCGGAGAAUGUUAUCACGGGAGACACACGGCGGGUGCUAACGUCCGUCGUGAAGAGGGAAACAACCCAGACCGCCAGCUAAGGUCCCAAAGUCAUGGUUAAGUGGGAAACGAUGUGGGAAGGCCCAGACAGCCAGGAUGUUGGCUUAGAAGCAGCCAUCAUUUAAAGAAAGCGUAAUAGCUCACUGGUCGAGUCGGCCUGCGCGGAAGAUGUAACGGGGCUAAACCAUGCACCGAAGCUGCGGCAGCGACACUGUGUGUUGUUGGGUAGGGGAGCGUUCUGUAAGCCUGUGAAGGUGUGCUGUGAGGCAUGCUGGAGGUAUCAGAAGUGCGAAUGCUGACAUAAGUAACGAUAAAGCGGGUGAAAAGCCCGCUCGCCGGAAGACCAAGGGUUCCUGUCCAACGUUAAUCGGGGCAGGGUGAGUCGACCCCUAAGGCGAGGCCGAAAGGCGUAGUCGAUGGGAAACAGGUUAAUAUUCCUGUACUUGGUGUUACUGCGAAGGGGGGACGGGAGAAGGCUAUGUUGGCCGGGCGACGGUUGUCCCGGUUUUAAGCGUGUAGGCUGGUUUUCCAGGCAAAUCCGGAAAAUCAAGGCUGAGGCGUGAUGACGAGGCACUACGGUGCUGAAGCAACAAAUGCCCUGCUUCCAGGAAAAGCCUCUAAGCAUCAGGUAACAUCAAAUCGUACCCCAAACCGACACAGGUGGUCAGGUAGAGAAUACCAAGGCGCUUGAGAGAACUCGGGUGAAGGAACUAGGCAAAAUGGUGCCGUAACUUCGGGAGAAGGCGCGCUGAUAUGUAGGUGAAGUCCCUCGCGGAUGGAGCUGAAAUCAGUCGAAGAUACCAGCUGGCUGCAACUGUUUAUUAAAAACACAGCACUGUGCAAACACGAAAGUGGACGUAUACGGUGUGACGCCUGCCCGGUGCCGGAAGGUUAAUUGAUGGGGUCAGCGCAAGCGAAGCUCUUGAUCGAAGCCCCGGUAAACGGCGGCCGUAACUAUAACGGUCCUAAGGUAGCGAAAUUCCUUGUCGGGUAAGUUCCGACCUGCACGAAUGGCGUAAUGAUGGCCAGGCUGUCUCCACCCGAGACUCAGUGAAAUUGAACUCGCUGUGAAGAUGCAGUGUACCCGCGGCAAGACGGAAAGACCCCGUGAACCUUUACUAUAGCUUGACACUGAACAUUGAGCCUUGAUGUGUAGGAUAGGUGGGAGGCUUUGAAGUGUGGACGCCAGUCUGCAUGGAGCCGACCUUGAAAUACCACCCUUUAAUGUUUGAUGUUCUAACGUGGACCCGUGAUCCGGGUUGCGGACAGUGUCUGGUGGGUAGUUUGACUGGGGCGGUCUCCUCCUAAAGAGUAACGGAGGAGCACGAAGGUUGGCUAAUCCUGGUCGGACAUCAGGAGGUUAGUGCAAUGGCAUAAGCCAGCUUGACUGCGAGCGUGACGGCGCGAGCAGGUGCGAAAGCAGGUCAUAGUGAUCCGGUGGUUCUGAAUGGAAGGGCCAUCGCUCAACGGAUAAAAGGUACUCCGGGGAUAACAGGCUGAUACCGCCCAAGAGUUCAUAUCGACGGCGGUGUUUGGCACCUCGAUGUCGGCUCAUCACAUCCUGGGGCUGAAGUAGGUCCCAAGGGUAUGGCUGUUCGCCAUUUAAAGUGGUACGCGAGCUGGGUUUAGAACGUCGUGAGACAGUUCGGUCCCUAUCUGCCGUGGGCGCUGGAGAACUGAGGGGGGCUGCUCCUAGUACGAGAGGACCGGAGUGGACGCAUCACUGGUGUUCGGGUUGUCAUGCCAAUGGCACUGCCCGGUAGCUAAAUGCGGAAGAGAUAAGUGCUGAAAGCAUCUAAGCACGAAACUUGCCCCGAGAUGAGUUCUCCCUGACCCUUUAAGGGUCCUGAAGGAACGUUGAAGACGACGACGUUGAUAGGCCGGGUGUGUAAGCGCAGCGAUGCGUUGAGCUAACCGGUACUAAUGAACCGUGAGGCUUAACCUU
This 2903-nucleotide ribosomal RNA is filed under the name Escherichia coli DEC5E. Its description in RNAcentral is "bacterial LSU rRNA". It matches the Rfam family "Bacterial large subunit ribosomal RNA". The record is from RNAcentral. Lineage: Bacteria; Pseudomonadati; Pseudomonadota; Gammaproteobacteria; Enterobacterales; Enterobacteriaceae.